RNAcentral lists this ribosomal RNA (1343 nucleotides) under uncultured bacterium. RNAcentral's name for it is "16S ribosomal RNA". It matches the Rfam family "Bacterial small subunit ribosomal RNA", at positions 28 to 1378 of the family's 1533-position model. The record is from RNAcentral.
GACGAACGCUGGCGGCGUGCUUAACACAUGCAAGUCGAACGGAAAGGCCCUGCUUUUGUGGGGUGCUCGAGUGGCGAACGGGUGAGUAACACGUGAGUAACCUGCCCUUGACUUUGGGAUAACUUCAGGAAACUGGGGCUAAUACCGGAUAGGAGCUCCUGCUGCAUGGUGGGGGUUGGAAAGUUUCGGCGGUUGGGGAUGGACUCGCGGCUUAUCAGCUUGUUGGUGGGGUAGUGGCUUACCAAGGCUUUGACGGGUAGCCGGCCUGAGAGGGUGACCGGCCACAUUGGGACUGAGAUACGGCCCAGACUCCUACGGGAGGCAGCAGUGGGGAAUAUUGCACAAUGGGCGGAAGCCUGAUGCAGCAACGCCGCGUGCGGGAUGACGGCCUUCGGGUUGUAAACCGCUUUCGCCUGUGACGAAGCGUGAGUGACGGUAAUGGGUAAAGAAGCACCGGCUAACUACGUGCCAGCAGCCGCGGUGAUACGUAGGGUGCGAGCGUUGUCCGGAUUUAUUGGGCGUAAAGGGCUCGUAGGUGGUUGAUCGCGUCGGAAGUGUAAUCUUGGGGCUUAACCCUGAGCGUGCUUUCGAUACGGGUUGACUUGAGGAAGGUAGGGGAGAAUGGAAUUCCUGGUGGAGCGGUGGAAUGCGCAGAUAUCAGGAGGAACACCAGUGGCGAAGGCGGUUCUCUGGGCCUUUCCUGACGCUGAGGAGCGAAAGCGUGGGGAGCGAACAGGCUUAGAUACCCUGGUAGUCCACGCUGUAAACGGUGGGUACUAGGUGUGGGGUCCAUUCCACGGGUUCCGUGCCGUAGCUAACGCUUUAAGUACCCCGCCUGGGGAGUACGGCCGCAAGGCUAAAACCCAAAGGAAUUGACGGGGCCCCGCACAAGCGGCGGAGCAUGCGGAUUAAUUCGAUGCAACGCGUAGAACCUUACCUGGGUUUGACAUGGAUCGGGAGCGCUCAGAGAUGGGUGUGCCUCUUUUGGGGUCGGUUCACAGGUGGUGCAUGGCUGUCGUCAGCUCGUGUCGUGAGAUGUUGGGUUAAGUCCCGCAACGAGCGCAACCCUUGUUCACUGUUGCCAGCACGUUAUGGUGGGGACUCAGUGGAGACCGCCGGGGUCAACUCGGAGGAAGGUGGGGAUGACGUCAAGUCAUCAUGCCCCUUAUGUCCAGGGCUUCACGCAUGCUACAAUGGCUGGUACAGAGAGUGGCGAGCCUGUGAGGGUGAGCGAAUCUCGGAAAGCCGGUCUCAGUUCGGAUUGGGGUCUGCAACUCGACCUCAUGAAGUCGGAGUCGCUAGUAAUCGCAGAUCAGCAACGCUGCGGUGAAUACGUUCCCGGG